RNAcentral lists this ribosomal RNA (440 nucleotides) under uncultured bacterium. Its description in RNAcentral is "partial 16S ribosomal RNA". It matches the Rfam family "Bacterial small subunit ribosomal RNA", at positions 338 to 795 of the family's 1533-position model. The record is from RNAcentral.
CCUACGGGUGGCAGCAGUGGGGGAUAUUGCACAAUGGGGGGAACCCUGAUGCAGCGACGCCGCGUGGGUGAAGAAGCGCCUCGGCGCGUAAAGCCCUGUCAGCAGGGAAGAAAAUGACGGUACCUGAAGAAGAAGCCCCGGCUAACUACGUGCCAGCAGCCGCGGUAAUACGGAGGGGGCAGGCGUUAUCCGGAGUUACUGGGGUUAAAGGGGGCGCAGACGGGGAUGCAAGCCAGGAGUGAAAGCCCGGGGCCCAACCCCGGGACUGCCGUUGGAACUGUGUGGCUGGAGUGGAGGAGGGGCAGGCGGAAUGCCUGGGGUAGCGGUGAAAUGCGUAGAUAUCAGGAGGAACACCGGUGGCGAAGGCAGCCUGCCGGACUGCAACUGACGUUGAGGCACGAAAGCGUGGGGAGCAAACAGUAUUAGAUACCCCGGUAGUC